RNAcentral lists this ribosomal RNA (253 nucleotides) under uncultured bacterium. RNAcentral describes it as "partial 16S ribosomal RNA". It matches the Rfam family "Bacterial small subunit ribosomal RNA", at positions 524 to 776 of the family's 1533-position model. The record is from RNAcentral.
UACGUAGGCAGCGAGCGUUGUUCGGAGUUACUGGGCGUAAAGGGUGUGUAGGCGGUUCUUUAAGUUUGGUGUGAAAUCUCCCGGCUCAACCGGGAGGGUGCGCCGAAUACUGAGGGACUCGAGUGCGGGAGAGGAAAGUGGAAUUCCUGGUGUAGCGGUGAAAUGCGUAGAUAUCAGGAGGAACACCGGUGGUGUAGACGGCUUUCUGGACCGUAACUGACGCUGAAACACGAAAGCGUGGGUAGCAAACAGG